Molecule: ribosomal RNA, 2923 nt
Filed under: Staphylococcus aureus
Lineage: Bacteria; Bacillati; Bacillota; Bacilli; Caryophanales; Staphylococcaceae
Description: 23S ribosomal RNA
Rfam family: Bacterial large subunit ribosomal RNA
Source: RNAcentral
GAUUAAGUUAUUAAGGGCGCACGGUGGAUGCCUUGGCACUAGAAGCCGAUGAAGGACGUUACUAACGACGAUAUGCUUUGGGGAGCUGUAAGUAAGCUUUGAUCCAGAGAUUUCCGAAUGGGGAAACCCAGCAUGAGUUAUGUCAUGUUAUCGAUAUGUGAAUACAUAGCAUAUCAGAAGGCACACCCGGAGAACUGAAACAUCUUAGUACCCGGAGGAAGAGAAAGAAAAUUCGAUUCCCUUAGUAGCGGCGAGCGAAACGGGAAGAGCCCAAACCAACAAGCUUGCUUGUUGGGGUUGUAGGACACUCUAUACGGAGUUACAAAGGACGACAUUAGACGAAUCAUCUGGAAAGAUGAAUCAAAGAAGGUAAUAAUCCUGUAGUCGAAAAUGUUGUCUCUCUUGAGUGGAUCCUGAGUACGACGGAGCACGUGAAAUUCCGUCGGAAUCUGGGAGGACCAUCUCCUAAGGCUAAAUACUCUCUAGUGACCGAUAGUGAACCAGUACCGUGAGGGAAAGGUGAAAAGCACCCCGGAAGGGGAGUGAAAUAGAACCUGAAACCGUGUGCUUACAAGUAGUCAGAGCCCGUUAAUGGGUGAUGGCGUGCCUUUUGUAGAAUGAACCGGCGAGUUACGAUUUGAUGCAAGGUUAAGCAGUAAAUGUGGAGCCGUAGCGAAAGCGAGUCUGAAUAGGGCGUUUAGUAUUUGGUCGUAGACCCGAAACCAGGUGAUCUACCCUUGGUCAGGUUGAAGUUCAGGUAACACUGAAUGGAGGACCGAACCGACUUACGUUGAAAAGUGAGCGGAUGAACUGAGGGUAGCGGAGAAAUUCCAAUCGAACCUGGAGAUAGCUGGUUCUCUCCGAAAUAGCUUUAGGGCUAGCCUCAAGUGAUGAUUAUUGGAGGUAGAGCACUGUUUGGACGAGGGGCCCCUCUCGGGUUACCGAAUUCAGACAAACUCCGAAUGCCAAUUAAUUUAACUUGGGAGUCAGAACAUGGGUGAUAAGGUCCGUGUUCGAAAGGGAAACAGCCCAGACCACCAGCUAAGGUCCCAAAAUAUAUGUUAAGUGGAAAAGGAUGUGGCGUUGCCCAGACAACUAGGAUGUUGGCUUAGAAGCAGCCAUCAUUUAAAGAGUGCGUAAUAGCUCACUAGUCGAGUGACACUGCGCCGAAAAUGUACCGGGGCUAAACAUAUUACCGAAGCUGUGGAUUGUCCUUUGGACAAUGGUAGGAGAGCGUUCUAAGGGCGUUGAAGCAUGAUCGUAAGGACAUGUGGAGCGCUUAGAAGUGAGAAUGCCGGUGUGAGUAGCGAAAGACGGGUGAGAAUCCCGUCCACCGAUUGACUAAGGUUUCCAGAGGAAGGCUCGUCCGCUCUGGGUUAGUCGGGUCCUAAGCUGAGGCCGACAGGCGUAGGCGAUGGAUAACAGGUUGAUAUUCCUGUACCACCUAUAAUCGUUUUAAUCGAUGGGGGGACGCAGUAGGAUAGGCGAAGCGUGCGAUUGGAUUGCACGUCUAAGCAGUAAGGCUGAGUAUUAGGCAAAUCCGGUACUCGUUAAGGCUGAACUGUGAUGGGGAGAAGACAUUGUGUCUUCGAGUCGUUGAUUUCACACUGCCGAGAAAAGCCUCUAGAUAGAAAAUAGGUGCCCGUACCGCAAACCGACACAGGUAGUCAAGAUGAGAAUUCUAAGGUGAGCGAGCGAACUCUCGUUAAGGAACUCGGCAAAAUGACCCCGUAACUUCGGGAGAAGGGGUGCUCUUUAGGGUUAACGCCCAGAAGAGCCGCAGUGAAUAGGCCCAAGCGACUGUUUAUCAAAAACACAGGUCUCUGCUAAACCGUAAGGUGAUGUAUAGGGGCUGACGCCUGCCCGGUGCUGGAAGGUUAAGAGGAGUGGUUAGCUUCUGCGAAGCUACGAAUCGAAGCCCCAGUAAACGGCGGCCGUAACUAUAACGGUCCUAAGGUAGCGAAAUUCCUUGUCGGGUAAGUUCCGACCCGCACGAAAGGCGUAACGAUUUGGGCACUGUCUCAACGAGAGACUCGGUGAAAUCAUAGUACCUGUGAAGAUGCAGGUUACCCGCGACAGGACGGAAAGACCCCGUGGAGCUUUACUGUAGCCUGAUAUUGAAAUUCGGCACAGCUUGUACAGGAUAGGUAGGAGCCUUUGAAACGUGAGCGCUAGCUUACGUGGAGGCGCUGGUGGGAUACUACCCUAGCUGUGUUGGCUUUCUAACCCGCACCACUUAUCGUGGUGGGAGACAGUGUCAGGCGGGCAGUUUGACUGGGGCGGUCGCCUCCUAAAAGGUAACGGAGGCGCUCAAAGGUUCCCUCAGAAUGGUUGGAAAUCAUUCAUAGAGUGUAAAGGCAUAAGGGAGCUUGACUGCGAGACCUACAAGUCGAGCAGGGUCGAAAGACGGACUUAGUGAUCCGGUGGUUCCGCAUGGAAGGGCCAUCGCUCAACGGAUAAAAGCUACCCCGGGGAUAACAGGCUUAUCUCCCCCAAGAGUUCACAUCGACGGGGAGGUUUGGCACCUCGAUGUCGGCUCAUCGCAUCCUGGGGCUGUAGUCGGUCCCAAGGGUUGGGCUGUUCGCCCAUUAAAGCGGUACGCGAGCUGGGUUCAGAACGUCGUGAGACAGUUCGGUCCCUAUCCGUCGUGGGCGUAGGAAAUUUGAGAGGAGCUGUCCUUAGUACGAGAGGACCGGGAUGGACAUACCUCUGGUGUACCAGUUGUCGUGCCAACGGCAUAGCUGGGUAGCUAUGUGUGGACGGGAUAAGUGCUGAAAGCAUCUAAGCAUGAAGCCCCCCUCAAGAUGAGAUUUCCCAACUUCGGUUAUAAGAUCCCUCAAAGAUGAUGAGGUUAAUAGGUUCGAGGUGGAAGCAUGGUGACAUGUGGAGCUGACGAAUACUAAUCGAUCGAAGACUUAAUCAA